GCUGUUACCCCAGGUGUGUCACCUGCCCCAGAUGCACCCCAGCUGAGUCCCAGGUGUCCCCAGGUGAGGUGACACCUGUCCCAGGUGUGUCCCAGGUGUGUCACCCACCCCAGGUGUGUCACCUGAGCCAGGUGUGACAUCUGCCCUAGGUGGGGUGUCACCUGCCCCAGGUGUGUCCCAGGUGUGUCACCUAAGCCAGGUGAGGUGUCACCUGUCCCAGGUGCGUCCCAGGUGGUCACAGGUGAGGUGCCACCUGCCCCAGGUGUGUCCCAGGUGCGUCACCCACCCCAGGUGGUCACAGGAAGUAGUCGGCCACGGGUUUCUUGGCGGGGAUGCCGCGCGCCCCAGGUGUGACCCCUGAGCCAGGUGAGGUGACACCUGCCCCAGGUGAGGUGUCACCUGUCCCAGGUGUGUCCCAGGUGUGUCACCUGAGCCAGGUGAGGUGUCACCCACCCCAGGAGGUCACAGGAAGUAG
Long non-coding RNA from Myiozetetes cayanensis, 475 nucleotides. RefSeq lists it as uncharacterized. The record is from RefSeq and is a predicted model, not a curated record. NCBI's taxonomy places the organism in Eukaryota, Metazoa, Chordata, Aves, Passeriformes, Tyrannidae. The transcript has 5 exons.